AUUGAACGCUGGCGGAAUGCUUUACACAUGCAAGUCGAACGGUAGAGGGGGCAACCCCUCGAGAGUGGCGAACGGGUGAGUAAUAUAUCGGAACGUGCCCAGUCGUGGGGGAUAACGUAGUGAAAAUUACGCUAAUACCGCAUACGAUCUAAGGAUGAAAGCGGGGGAUCGCAAGACCUCGCGCGACUAGAGCGGCCGAUGCCUGAUUAGCUUGUUGGUGGGGUAAAGGCCUACCAAGGCGACGAUCGGUAGCUGGUCUGAGAGGAUGAUCAGCCACACUGGGACUGAGACACGGCCCAGACUCCUACGGGAGGCAGCAGUGGGGAAUAUUGGACAAUGGGGGGAACCCUGAUCCAGCAAUGCCGCGUGUGUGAAGAAGGCCUGAGGGUUGUAAAGCACUUUUGUAGAGGAGGAUGGUGAGCUAGGUUAAGAGCUAGGUUCAUUGACGUUACUCUAAGAAUAAGCACCGGCUAACUCCGUGCCAGCCGCCGCGGUAA
This 497-nucleotide ribosomal RNA is filed under the name uncultured bacterium. Its description in RNAcentral is "partial 16S ribosomal RNA". It matches the Rfam family "Bacterial small subunit ribosomal RNA", at positions 30 to 523 of the family's 1533-position model. The record is from RNAcentral.